UGCUGUUAAACAUUACCCUGCACCAGAAAAAUCCCAUGUUUGUUGCUGUUUAGUUGUUCUCAAAUGUUGCAUGGGGAUAGAAUGUCAUGACCAUGUUUGACUUUUGAUGUUGGUUUAUGUUGGUUGUUCAUGAUGAUGAAGUUGAAUGAUGAAGCUUGCCCUGCUGUUUUGAGCCUUAUGAACAUUGUCCUAAAAAUCCAUUUGAUUGUGCUGUAUGCUGUUGAUUGCCUGCUGCUACACAUUGCCAAAUGCUAUGCUGCUAUGUGCUGUUGUUUGUUUUGCUUGAUUUGGUGAUGGACAUUGGAUGAUG
Molecule: long non-coding RNA, 310 nt
Filed under: Lathyrus oleraceus (garden pea)
Lineage: Eukaryota; Viridiplantae; Streptophyta; Magnoliopsida; Fabales; Fabaceae
Description: Pisum sativum (pea) long non-coding RNA (PSAT_LNC020115)
Source: RNAcentral